AAACAAAAAAAAAAAAAAAAAAAAAAAAAAAAAAA
This 35-nucleotide non-coding RNA is filed under the name Prorocentrum micans. Lineage: Eukaryota; Dinophyceae; Prorocentrales; Prorocentraceae. The record is from RNAcentral.